RNAcentral lists this ribosomal RNA (534 nucleotides) under Yamadazyma tenuis. Its description in RNAcentral is "eukaryotic LSU rRNA". It matches the Rfam family "Eukaryotic large subunit ribosomal RNA", at positions 40 to 629 of the family's 3401-position model. Lineage: Eukaryota; Fungi; Ascomycota; Pichiomycetes; Serinales; Debaryomycetaceae. The record is from RNAcentral.
AUAUCAAUAAGCGGAGGAAAAGAAACCAACAGGGAUUGCCUUAGUAGCGGCGAGUGAAGCGGCAAUAGCUCAAAUUUGAAAUCUGGCGUCUUCGACGUCCGAGUUGUAAUUUGAAGAAGGUAUCUUUGGAAUUGGCUCUUGUCUAUGUUCCUUGGAACAGGACGUCACAGAGGGUGAGAAUCCCGUGCGAUGAGAUGCCCAAUUCCGUGUAAAGUUCCUUCGACGAGUCGAGUUGUUUGGGAAUGCAGCUCUAAGUGGGUGGUAAAUUCCAUCUAAAGCUAAAUAUUGGCGAGAGACCGAUAGCGAACAAGUACUGUGAAGGAAAGAUGAAAAGAACUUUGAAAAGAGAGUGAAAAAGUACGUGAAAUUGUUGAAAGGGAAGGGCUUGAGGUCAGACUUGGUUUUACCAGGCCAGCAUCAGUUUGGACGGCAGGAUAAUAGCUAAGAAAUGUGACUCCACUUCGGUGGUGUGUUAUAGUCUUGGUUGAUACUGCCUGUCUAGACUGAGGACUGCGUCUUUGACUAGGAUGCUGG